Non-coding RNA from Acanthosepion pharaonis, 98 nucleotides. The record is from the annotation of a GenBank genome assembly. NCBI's taxonomy places the organism in Eukaryota, Metazoa, Mollusca, Cephalopoda, Sepiida, Sepiidae.
AUUGAAACACUGGUUUCUGUAUGAUCACUAAAGUUAAGCAAUGUUGAGCCUGGUCAGUACCUUGAUGGCGACCACUUGGGAAUAUCAGGUGCUGUAAG